This 1552-nucleotide ribosomal RNA is filed under the name Salmonella enterica subsp. enterica serovar Bovismorbificans. RNAcentral describes it as "bacterial SSU rRNA". It matches the Rfam family "Bacterial small subunit ribosomal RNA". RNAcentral also lists the same sequence under 2 other names. Lineage: Bacteria; Pseudomonadati; Pseudomonadota; Gammaproteobacteria; Enterobacterales; Enterobacteriaceae. The record is from RNAcentral.
AAAUUGAAGAGUUUGAUCAUGGCUCAGAUUGAACGCUGGCGGCAGGCCUAACACAUGCAAGUCGAACGGUAACAGGAAGCAGCUUGCUGCUUUGCUGACGAGUGGCGGACGGGUGAGUAAUGUCUGGGAAACUGCCUGAUGGAGGGGGAUAACUACUGGAAACGGUGGCUAAUACCGCAUAACGUCGCAAGACCAAAGAGGGGGACCUUCGGGCCUCUUGCCAUCAGAUGUGCCCAGAUGGGAUUAGCUAGUUGGUGAGGUAACGGCUCACCAAGGCGACGAUCCCUAGCUGGUCUGAGAGGAUGACCAGCCACACUGGAACUGAGACACGGUCCAGACUCCUACGGGAGGCAGCAGUGGGGAAUAUUGCACAAUGGGCGCAAGCCUGAUGCAGCCAUGCCGCGUGUAUGAAGAAGGCCUUCGGGUUGUAAAGUACUUUCAGCGGGGAGGAAGGUGUUGUGGUUAAUAACCGCAGCAAUUGACGUUACCCGCAGAAGAAGCACCGGCUAACUCCGUGCCAGCAGCCGCGGUAAUACGGAGGGUGCAAGCGUUAAUCGGAAUUACUGGGCGUAAAGCGCACGCAGGCGGUCUGUCAAGUCGGAUGUGAAAUCCCCGGGCUCAACCUGGGAACUGCAUUCGAAACUGGCAGGCUUGAGUCUUGUAGAGGGGGGUAGAAUUCCAGGUGUAGCGGUGAAAUGCGUAGAGAUCUGGAGGAAUACCGGUGGCGAAGGCGGCCCCCUGGACAAAGACUGACGCUCAGGUGCGAAAGCGUGGGGAGCAAACAGGAUUAGAUACCCUGGUAGUCCACGCCGUAAACGAUGUCUACUUGGAGGUUGUGCCCUUGAGGCGUGGCUUCCGGAGCUAACGCGUUAAGUAGACCGCCUGGGGAGUACGGCCGCAAGGUUAAAACUCAAAUGAAUUGACGGGGGCCCGCACAAGCGGUGGAGCAUGUGGUUUAAUUCGAUGCAACGCGAAGAACCUUACCUGGUCUUGACAUCCACGGAAGUUUUCAGAGAUGAGAAUGUGCCUUCGGGAACCGUGAGACAGGUGCUGCAUGGCUGUCGUCAGCUCGUGUUGUGAAAUGUUGGGUUAAGUCCCGCAACGAGCGCAACCCUUAUCCUUUGUUGCCAGCGAUUAGGUCGGGAACUCAAAGGAGACUGCCAGUGAUAAACUGGAGGAAGGUGGGGAUGACGUCAAGUCAUCAUGGCCCUUACGACCAGGGCUACACACGUGCUACAAUGGCGCAUACAAAGAGAAGCGACCUCGCGAGAGCAAGCGGACCUCAUAAAGUGCGUCGUAGUCCGGAUUGGAGUCUGCAACUCGACUCCAUGAAGUCGGAAUCGCUAGUAAUCGUGGAUCAGAAUGCCACGGUGAAUACGUUCCCGGGCCUUGUACACACCGCCCGUCACACCAUGGGAGUGGGUUGCAAAAGAAGUAGGUAGCUUAACCUUCGGGAGGGCGCUUACCACUUUGUGAUUCAUGACUGGGGUGAAGUCGUAACAAGGUAACCGUAGGGGAACCUGCGGUUGGAUCACCUCCUUACCUUAAAGAA